CUGCAUGAGAAUACACGGAGACAACAGAUGUCUGCAAACCAGGAUGUGUGUCUUCCUCAGGCACUGGAUCUAUUGGUGCCUUGUUCUUGGACUUCCCAGCCUCCAGAACUAAUUAUGAUCAACAACUCAGGAAAAUACUCAACUUGAAAGAGAUUAGUGAAUGUGGACUCGAAAGGUCUAAGACAGAGAAAGAAGUUGCUGUAGAACACUUUUGCAAAACAGUGGUCUCCAAAGAGCCAUGAAACAGCUUGCUGAUUUUUGAAUUUCUGGGUUUAUUACAAAUGACUACAUAAAAGCCGUGUGGUAAGAAACGAACUUCUGGUAACAGAUGGUGGAAAAUCACCAGUAAGACCCAAACCUAACAGAGACUGCUUCUGGAGCCAUGGUUCUCACUAAGGGUUAUUAGCAUCAUUCUUUGAUGAUGGGCAUUGAGGCAUCAGAACUCAUGGAUAUCACAGUUCCUGUGUGGAGAGGAAGCUUCAGAUGGUGCUCUUGCACAGACGGGACUGCCAUUCCCAUUUUAGUGGAUCUCUUAAAAGUUCGAAUGGCUCCUCUAAUGCCUGAUGUGAAUGGAACCUUUCUCUCUGCUUCAGUCAAGAAUCUGGUGACAAAGAAGCUUCAUCCUUUCAAUCUUACAAUUUCAAUCUCCUAUCUCAAGAAAGCUCAUUUCUAUGUAUUACCAGUGCAUCCUCCACAUGCUCUUCUGCAGUUGUUCCUUCUGCGGGAAAUGAUCUCUCCUUUUGUCGAGGCUUGGUGAAAUCCUUUGAAAUUCUGUUGAUUCUGUAAGAGCCAACACAAAUACCAACUGCCCUGAAUACUUUCUGGCUAAACUGCCACAAUGAACGAGGAUUCCUCACCCAUGUCCCUCCCUUUCCCUUCCUUUCUUUUUAUAAUGGUAUGCUUAUUGUUUUUUAAUGUAACAUUUUUCUUACAAAAGGAAUACACAUUCAGUGUUAAAAUGGAAAUGUAGAAAAGUCUUCAGAAGAAAAUAAAAAUCACCUGCAAAUCCA
This 1010-nucleotide long non-coding RNA is filed under the name Homo sapiens (human). Its description in RNAcentral is "HSALNT0299481". The record is from RNAcentral. Lineage: Eukaryota; Metazoa; Chordata; Mammalia; Primates; Hominidae.